This 200-nucleotide non-coding RNA is filed under the name Manganibacter manganicus. The record is from RNAcentral. Lineage: Bacteria; Pseudomonadati; Pseudomonadota; Alphaproteobacteria; Hyphomicrobiales; Phyllobacteriaceae.
CCUAAAUCCGCGCCGGAUGGUCCUCUCUCGGCAAACGGAGAGGCUAAAAGGGAAUGCGGUGCGGGCGAAAGCCCAAAUCCGCGGCUGUCCCGCAACUGUAGGCGACGAGCCAAGGCCGGAAACCACUGGGAUUUUCCUGGGAAGGCGGCAUGAGGCGACGACUCGCAAGCCAGGAGACCUGCCAUCCCAAACAGACAAAU